AAGUCGUAACAAGGUAUCCGUAGGUGAACCUGCGGAUGGAUCAUUAACAGUAUUAUUAUUAUACUACAUAAACACUUGUGAACUGUAUGUAUGGGAGUUAGUUUAUCUUCCAGUUUUACUAUUAUUAUACUUAAUAAGCUUAUGUAACAAUCAUAAAACUUUUAGCAACGGAUCUCUAGGCUCUC
Molecule: unclassified non-coding RNA, 185 nt
Filed under: fungal sp.
Lineage: Eukaryota; Fungi
Description: partial contains small subunit ribosomal RNA, internal transcribed spacer 1, and 5.8S ribosomal RNA
Rfam family: Eukaryotic small subunit ribosomal RNA (bases 1-46)
Source: RNAcentral